CACCGGAGGGCAGCAAAGGUAAGAGGCGGCGAUGAGGCCCGAAGGGGAAGGAAACUGGUCUCCAGUCCUCCACGCCACCCCACGCGGCCGGAGCCUCCCAGGUCCCGCCCCGGGCUCGCCGCCCUGCCCCGGCGCCGGCCGCAGCCUCCCGCCCUCCCCGACCCUCCCAGGACGCGCUUCCUCCGGAGCCGGACCCCCGCCCUGGCCUCCUCGCGGGAUAAGGCGGGUCAGUUCAGUCCGCUUCUCGGCAGAGGUGACUCGCGCGGCGGUGUAAACACUGCGAGACCAGCUGCGCGCGGCCCAUCCCCCCCGCCGGGGUCCGUAACCUCUUUGCGCAGCCCUGCCCGGCGCCCCGCGCUCUCCGCGGGCGGGCGCGCCGCCCGCCUUCCCCUUUCUCCAAGUCCCGCUCCCCGACCGCUGCCCGGGGGCACUCAGCCUCCUUUCCCAGCUCCCGGCCGGUGUCACCGCCACAGCCUCUGGAAAACCCUCCGCAAACCCCGGAGCCAACAACACAGGCGCGGGGCGGGGGCGCGGAGGGAGGCGGUGGCACUCGGGACGGCGAGUCUUUCUCGCCGCACCCUCCGCGCUCCCUCGCACCAGCCUCGGCGGCCCGCGCGCUCUUACCUGUUCUCCGCGUCGCCCGGGAAGACCGCCGCGUCGCCUUCCCUCCCGGCAGGGCCGCGGACUAGCCGCCGCCGCCGCCGCCGUUGGCCGGGCGUCCGGAGGGAGCCGGGGCCUCCCCGGCUGCCCGAGCCGCUCCACUGGGAGAGGAGGAGACAAAACAGCGGCGCGCCGCCCCGCGCAGAGCCCCCCGCCCGCGCCCCCCUCCCGGCCCCCUCCCCCCUCCACCCCCCGCCUCGGCUCCUCCCCCUCGGCCUCCAGCCGCCGCCAACAGGACAGUCGAGUCCGCCUCCCCCACCCCGCCCGCUCAGCGCGCUCCUCCCCUCCCCACGCGGCGAGGGGGGGCGGCACCGCCAGUCACCAACGCGCCUGUCAAACCCGGGCCGGCUAUUUAUAUCCCGCGGGGCCCCGCCGCCCUCGGCCCCCACCAGCCCGCCCACCAGGCCUCGAUGGCUCUCUCGAAUCUCGCCCGCCCUGUAG
Molecule: long non-coding RNA, 1101 nt
Filed under: Delphinapterus leucas (beluga whale)
Lineage: Eukaryota; Metazoa; Chordata; Mammalia; Artiodactyla; Monodontidae
Description: lncRNA (ENSDLEG00000019025.1)
Source: RNAcentral